Molecule: ribosomal RNA, 425 nt
Filed under: uncultured bacterium
Lineage: Bacteria
Description: partial 16S ribosomal RNA
Rfam family: Bacterial small subunit ribosomal RNA
Source: RNAcentral
GUGGGGAAUAUUGGACAAUGGGCGAAAGCCUGAUCCAGCCAUGCCGCGUGAGUGAUGAAGGCCUUAGGGUUGUAAAGCUCUUUCAGUAGGGAAGAUAAUGACGGUACCUACAGAAGAAGCCCCGGCUAACUUCGUGCCAGCAGCCGCGGUAAUACGAAGGGGGCUAGCGUUGUUCGGAUUUACUGGACGUAAAGCGCACGUAGGCGGAUCGUUAAGUCGGGGGUGAAAUCCUGGAGCUCAACUCCAGAACUGCCUUCGAUACUGGCGAUCUUGAGUCCGGAAGAGGUGAGUGGAACUCCUAGUGUAGAGGUGGAAUUCGUAGAUAUUAGGAAGAACACCAGUGGCGAAGGCGGCUCACUGGUCCGGUACUGACGCUGAGGUGCGAAAGCGUGGGGAGCAAACAGGAUUAGAAACCCCAGUAGUCC